GCAGGCUGGCUUCCGGUCCAGGCCUUCCUCUCUUCCUCAGCUGAAAGACAACAUCCAGAAGGUGACAACCGAAGUGGGGGAUGAAUUUAAGGAGCCAACUUUGGCUGAGGAACAUGUUAAGCUUCCUGCAAGGGCUCAGUCGCAGAUAAAACAAGUUGCACAUCCUUUCCUUGGUCACAACACACCGGUCCACGCUCUCCUCACGAUGACUGGUGACGAUCGACAGUGAUGAGGAAACUGUUGUCUGUGACUGCCUGGUGAAGUGGACCUGUCAUCCAACACUGAAGUUGAAGCUUUUAAAUGCUGAGGAACAUGUUCAGCUUCCUGCAAGGGCUCAGUCGCAGAAAAAAACAAGUUGCACAUCCUUUCCUUGGUCAUGACACACCGGUCCACACUCUCAUCACGAUGAUCAGUGACUGCCUGGUGAAGUGGACCUGUCAUCCAACACUGAAGUUGAUGCUUUU
Phycodurus eques (leafy seadragon) is the source of this 464-nucleotide long non-coding RNA. RefSeq lists it as uncharacterized. The transcript has 5 exons. Lineage: Eukaryota; Metazoa; Chordata; Actinopteri; Syngnathiformes; Syngnathidae. The record is from RefSeq and is a predicted model, not a curated record.